This 255-nucleotide ribosomal RNA is filed under the name uncultured bacterium. RNAcentral's name for it is "partial 16S ribosomal RNA". It matches the Rfam family "Bacterial small subunit ribosomal RNA", at positions 524 to 776 of the family's 1533-position model. The record is from RNAcentral.
UACGUAGGAUGCAAGCGUUGUCCGGAAUUAUUGGGCGUAAAGAGCGCGCAGGCGGUAUGACAAGUCAGAUGUGAAAGAGGCCGGCUUAACCGGCAAGGGUCAUUUGAAACUGUCAAACUAGAGUGCAGCAGAGGAUAGUGGAAUUCCCGGAUGUAGUGGUGAAAUGCGUAGAUAUCGGGGAGGAACACCAGUGGCGAAGGCGACUAUCUGGGCUGCAACUGACGCUGAGGCGCGAAGGCUAGGGUAGCAAACAGG